RNAcentral lists this ribosomal RNA (387 nucleotides) under uncultured bacterium. RNAcentral's name for it is "bacterial SSU rRNA". It matches the Rfam family "Bacterial small subunit ribosomal RNA", at positions 28 to 417 of the family's 1533-position model. The record is from RNAcentral.
GACGAACGCUGGCGGCGUGCUUAACACAUGCAAGUCGAGCGGUAAGGCCCUUUCGGGGGUACACGAGCGGCGAACGGGUGAGUAACACGUGGGUGACCUGCCCUCAGCUCUGGGAUAAGCCUGGGAAACCGGGUCUAAUACUGGAUAUGACUCCAUGACGCAUGUUGUGGGGUGGAAAGCCUUGUGCGGCUGAGGAUGGGCCCGCGGCCUAUCAGCUUGUUGGUGGGGGAUGGCCUACCAAGGCGACGACGGGUAGCCGGCCUGAGAGGGCGACCGGCCACACUGGGACUGAGACACGGCCCAGACUCCUACGGGAGGCAGCAGUGGGGAAUCUUGCGCAAUGGGCGAAAGCCUGACGCAGCGACGCCGCGUGAGGGAUGACGGCCU